Molecule: ribosomal RNA, 1159 nt
Filed under: Burkholderia multivorans
Lineage: Bacteria; Pseudomonadati; Pseudomonadota; Betaproteobacteria; Burkholderiales; Burkholderiaceae
Description: partial 23S ribosomal RNA
Rfam family: Bacterial large subunit ribosomal RNA
Source: RNAcentral
GAAGGGUGAAGGGGUUGCAAUAAACUGGUGGCUGCGACUGUUUAAUAAAAACACAGCACUCUGCAAACACGAAAGUGGACGUAUAGGGUGUGACGCCUGCCCGGUGCCGGAAGAUUAAAUGAUGGGGUGCAAGCUCUUGAUUGAAGUCCCGGUAAACGGCGGCCGUAACUAUAACGGUCCUAAGGUAGCGAAAUUCCUUGUCGGGUAAGUUCCGACCUGCACGAAUGGCGUAACGAUGGCCACACUGUCUCCUCCCGAGACUCAGCGAAGUUGAAGUGUUUGUGAUGAUGCAAUCUACCCGCGGCUAGACGGAAAGACCCCAUGAACCUUUACUGUAGCUUUGCAUUGGACUUUGAACCGAUCUGUGUAGGAUAGGUGGGAGGCUAUGAAACCGGAACGCUAGUUUCGGUGGAGCCGUCCUUGAAAUACCACCCUGGUUUGUUUGAGGUUCUAACCUUGGUCCGUGAUCCGGAUCGGGGACAGUGCAUGGUAGGCAGUUUGACUGGGGCGGUCUCCUCCCAAAGGGUAACGGAGGAGUACGAAGGUACGCUAGGUACGGUCGGAAAUCGUGCUGAUAGUGCAAUGGCAUAAGCGUGCUUAACUGCGAGACCGACAAGUCGAGCAGGUGCGAAAGCAGGUCAUAGUGAUCCGGUGGUUCUGUAUGGAAGGGCCAUCGCUCAACGGAUAAAAGGUACUCUGGGGAUAACAGGCUGAUACCGCCCAAGAGUUCAUAUCGACGGCGGUGUUUGGCACCUCGAUGUCGGCUCAUCUCAUCCUGGGGCUGUAGCCGGUCCCAAGGGUAUGGCUGUUCGCCAUUUAAAGAGGUACGUGAGCUGGGUUUAAAACGUCGUGAGACAGUUUGGUCCCUAUCUGCCGUGGGCGUUGGAUAUUUGAAGGGGGCUGCUCCUAGUACGAGAGGACCGGAGUGGACGAACCUCUGGUGUACCGGUUGUGACGCCAGUCGCAUCGCCGGGUAGCUAUGUUCGGAAGAGAUAACCGCUGAAAGCAUCUAAGCGGGAAACUCGCCUUAAGAUGAGAUAUCCCUGGAGGCUUGACCUCCUUGAAGGGUCGUUCGAGACCAGGACGUUGAUAGGUCGGGUGUGUAAGCGCAGUAAUGCGUUCAGCUAACCGAUACUAAUUGCCCGUAAGGCUUGAUCCU